AGAGUUUGAUUAUGGCUCAGAACGAACGCUGGCGGCAGGCCUAACACAUGCAAGUCGAGCGCGCCCUUCGGGGUGAGCGGCGGACGGGUUAGUAACGCGUGGGAACGUACCCUUUGGUAGGGAAUAGCCACUGGAAACGGUGAGUAAUACCCUAUGAGCCCUUCGGGGGAAAGAUUUAUCGCCAAAGGAUCGGCCCGCGUUAGAUUAGGUAGUUGGUGGGGUAAUGGCCUACCAAGCCUACGAUCUAUAGCUGGUUUUAGAGGAUGAUCAGCAACACUGGGACUGAGACACGGCCCAGACUCCUACGGGAGGCAGCAGUGGGGAAUCUUGGACAAUGGGGGCAACCCUGAAUCCAGCCAUGCCGCGUGAGUGAAGAAGGCCUUAGGGUCGUAAAGCUCUUUCGCCUGUGAAGAUAAUGACGGUAGCAGGUAAAGAAACCCCGGCUAACUCCGUGCCAGCCGCGGC
Molecule: ribosomal RNA, 465 nt
Filed under: uncultured bacterium
Lineage: Bacteria
Description: bacterial SSU rRNA
Rfam family: Bacterial small subunit ribosomal RNA
Source: RNAcentral